RNAcentral lists this transfer-messenger RNA (361 nucleotides) under Sphingomonas rhizophila. RNAcentral's name for it is "Alphaproteobacteria transfer-messenger RNA". It matches the Rfam family "Alphaproteobacteria transfer-messenger RNA". Rfam says of the family: Bacterial tmRNA, also known as 10Sa RNA or SsrA, is named for its dual tRNA and mRNA-like properties. The record is from Rfam by way of RNAcentral. Lineage: Bacteria; Pseudomonadati; Pseudomonadota; Alphaproteobacteria; Sphingomonadales; Sphingomonadaceae.
UCGCUUGAACAUAAACCGCCGGCGGCCUAUCUUGGGCGUGCCGGGUAACCGGCUACGUCGGUAGAGUAUUUGGUGGAAUAGGCAUUUCGGACCCGGGGGGCAGUACCCCGGCGCCUCCACCACCAGCGGCGGGUGUUUUCGAAGGUUCGAAAGCGCCGCUGCUGAUGGGGGCGAAACAGGAUCGACGAGUGCAAUAAAGGCCAGGUUGCCGAUCGGUAUGGGUCCACCGCAAAGGCCCAUUCACACAAGUGCCAACGAUAACGAGGCUCUUGCGAUUGCUGCCUAACUGAGGGCCUAACGGUCUGAAGUUAGAUGGACAAAAGCGCGGCCGGACCCCGCCGGGCAACAGAAGGGGAAUCCA